Molecule: RNase P RNA, 402 nt
Filed under: uncultured Corynebacterium sp.
Lineage: Bacteria; Bacillati; Actinomycetota; Actinomycetes; Mycobacteriales; Corynebacteriaceae
Description: Bacterial RNase P class A
Rfam family: Bacterial RNase P class A
About the family: Ribonuclease P (RNase P) is a ubiquitous endoribonuclease, found in archaea, bacteria and eukarya as well as chloroplasts and mitochondria.
Source: RNAcentral
AGUCAGCCGGGUGAUCGCGGCACACCGUACCGCCACGCAGGUGGGCAGGCGAUGGUCGAGGAAAGUCCGGACUCCACAGGGCACGGUGGUUGCUAACAGCAACCCGGAGUGAUCCGCGGGAAAGUGCAACAGAAAGUAGACCGCCUGGGCAACCAGGUAAGGGUGAAAGGGUGCGGUAAGAGCGCACCGGCGCCUGUGGUGACACAGACGGCCAGGUAAACCCCACCGGGAGCAAGGCAAGAACCCCUGCCGCGUACGGCAGAGGUUGUCGGACGUGAUGAGGCUGCCCGCCCAGGUCCGAAGGUAGCUGCUUGAGGCCCCCAGUGAUGGGACGCCCAGAUGGAUGAUCACCGCCCCGCCGCCUUUGGCGGGGAACAGAAUCCGGCUCAUAGGCUGACUCAU